CGAGCGGGCGUAGCAAUACGUCAGCGGCAGACGGGUGAGUAACGCGUGGGAACGUACCUUUUGGUUCGGAACAACACAGGGAAACUUGUGCUAAUACCGGAUAAGCCCUUACGGGGAAAGAUUUAUCGCCGAAAGAUCGGCCCGCGUCUGAUUAGCUAGUUGGUGAGGUAAUGGCUCACCAAGGCGACGAUCAGUAGCUGGUCUGAGAGGAUGAUCAGCCACAUUGGGACUGAGACACGGCCCAAACUCCUACGGGAGGCAGCAGUGGGGAAUAUUGGACAAUGGGGGCAACCCUGAUCCAGCCAUGCCGCGUGAGUGAUGAAGGCCCUAGGGUUGUAAAGCUCUUUUGUGCGGGAAGAUAAUGACGGUACCGCAAGAAUAAGCCCCGGCUAACUUCGUGCCAGCAGCCGCGGUAAUACGAAGGGGGCUAGCGUUGCUCGGAAUCACUGGGCGUAAAGGGUGCGUAGGCGGGUCUUUAAGUCAGGGGUGAAAUCCUGGAGCUCAACUCCAGAACUGCCUUUGAUACUGAGGAUCUUGAGUUCGGGAGAGGUGAGUGGAACUGCGAGUGUAGAGGUGAAAUUCGUAGAUAUUCGCAAGAACACCAGUGGCGAAGGCGGCUCA
This 621-nucleotide ribosomal RNA is filed under the name Bradyrhizobium japonicum. Its description in RNAcentral is "bacterial SSU rRNA". It matches the Rfam family "Bacterial small subunit ribosomal RNA", at positions 63 to 728 of the family's 1533-position model. Lineage: Bacteria; Pseudomonadati; Pseudomonadota; Alphaproteobacteria; Hyphomicrobiales; Nitrobacteraceae. The record is from RNAcentral.